This 497-nucleotide ribosomal RNA is filed under the name uncultured bacterium. Its description in RNAcentral is "partial 16S ribosomal RNA". It matches the Rfam family "Bacterial small subunit ribosomal RNA", at positions 28 to 507 of the family's 1533-position model. The record is from RNAcentral.
GAUGAACGCUGGCGGCGUGCCUAAUACAUGCAAGUCGAGCGAACGGACGAGAAGCUUGCUUCUCUGAUGUUAGCGGCGGACGGGUGAGUAACACGUGGAUAAUCUACCUAUAAUACUGGGAUAACUUCGGGAAACCGGAUCUAAUACCGGAUAAUAUUUUGAACCGCAUGGUGCAAAAGUGAAAUACGGUCUUGCUGGCUCUUCUAGAUGGUUCCGGGCUGGAUUGGCUGGUUGGUAAGGUAACGGGUUACCAGGGCAAGUAUGCAUAGCCGAACUGAUGGGGGGAUAGCCCACACGGGAACUGAGACGCGCUCCAGGCGCCUGCGGGAGGCACCAGUAGGCAACCUUCCGCAACGGGCGGAAGCAUGACGGAGCGAGGCCGCGUGAGUGAUGAAGGUGUUCGGUUCGUAAAAAUCUGUUAUUAGGGAAAAACAGAUGUGUAAGUAGCUGUGCACAUAUUGACGGUAACUAAUCAGAAAGCCCCGGCUAACUACGUG